RNAcentral lists this ribosomal RNA (529 nucleotides) under uncultured bacterium. RNAcentral describes it as "bacterial SSU rRNA". It matches the Rfam family "Bacterial small subunit ribosomal RNA", at positions 777 to 1304 of the family's 1533-position model. The record is from RNAcentral.
AAUAGAUACCCGGGUAGUCCACGCCGUAAACGAUGAGUGCUAAGUGUUAGAGGGUUUCCGCCCUUUAGUGCUGCAGCUAACGCAUUAAGCACUCCGCCUGGGGAGUACGGUCGCAAGACUGAAACUCAAAGGAAUUGACGGGGGCCCGCACAAGCGGUGGAGCAUGUGGUUUAAUUCGAAGCAACGCGAAGAACCUUACCAGGUCUUGACAUCCUCUGACAACUCUAGAGAUAGAGCGUUCCCCUUCGGGGGACAGAGUGACAGGUGGUGCAUGGUUGUCGUCAGCUCGUGUCGUGAGAUGUUGGGUUAAGUCCCGCAACGAGCGCAACCCUUGAUCUUAGUUGCCAGCAUUCAGUUGGGCACCCUAAGGUGACUGCCGGUGACAAACCGGAGGAAGGUGGGGAUGACGUCAAAUCAUCAUGCCCCUUAUGACCUGGGCUACACACGUGCUACAAUGGAUGGUACAAAGGGCUGCAAGACCGCGAGGUCAAGCCAAUCCCAUAAAACCAUUCUCAGUUCGGAUUGUAGG